RNAcentral lists this transfer RNA (77 nucleotides) under Candidatus Borkfalkia avicola. RNAcentral describes it as "tRNA-Arg". It matches the Rfam family "tRNA". From Rfam's summary of the family: Transfer RNA (tRNA) molecules are approximately 80 nucleotides in length. Their secondary structure includes four short double-helical elements and three loops (D, anti-codon, and T loops). The record is from RNAcentral. Lineage: Bacteria; Bacillati; Bacillota; Clostridia; Christensenellales; Christensenellaceae. RNAcentral also lists the same sequence under 3 other names.
GUGUCCGUAGCGCAAUUGGAUAGAGUGACAGCCUCCGACGCUGUAGGUUCCGGGUUCGAUUCCCGGCGGGCACACCA